AGAGUUUGAUCCUGGCUCAGAAUCAACGCUGGCGGCGCGCUUAACACAUGCAAGUCGAACGAGAAAGCGGGGGCAACCUCGCAAGUACAGUGGCGUACGGGUGAGUAACACGUGGGUUAUCUAACCUUUAGUGGGGAAUAACGCUGGGAAACCGGCGCUAAUACCGCAUAAUCCCGAGAGGGGAAAGCAGCAAUGCGCUG
Molecule: ribosomal RNA, 200 nt
Filed under: uncultured bacterium
Lineage: Bacteria
Description: partial 16S ribosomal RNA
Rfam family: Bacterial small subunit ribosomal RNA
Source: RNAcentral